This 253-nucleotide ribosomal RNA is filed under the name uncultured bacterium. Its description in RNAcentral is "partial 16S ribosomal RNA". It matches the Rfam family "Bacterial small subunit ribosomal RNA", at positions 524 to 776 of the family's 1533-position model. The record is from RNAcentral.
UACGUAGGGUGCAAGCGUUGUCCGGAAUUACUGGGCGUAAAGAGCUCGUAGGCGGUUUGUCGCGUCUGCUGUGAAAACUCGGGGCUUAACUCCGGGCCUGCAGUGGGUACGGGCAGACUAGAGUGCGGUAGGGGAGACUGGAAUUCCUGGUGUAGCGGUGAAAUGCGCAGAUAUCAGGAGGAACACCGGUGGCGAAGGCGGGUCUCUGGGCCGUAACUGACGCUGAGGAGCGAAAGCGUGGGGAGCAAACAGG